UCCGUUCUCCGCCCGAAGUUGCCCAUUC
This 28-nucleotide small RNA is filed under the name Bombyx mori (domestic silkworm). RNAcentral describes it as "ovarian small RNA-27644". The record is from RNAcentral. Lineage: Eukaryota; Metazoa; Arthropoda; Insecta; Lepidoptera; Bombycidae.